AAGUCUGUUUAGAAGAAACUUAAUCAAACUAGCAUCAUGUUGGUUGUUUAUCACUUUUCAUGAUGC
RNAcentral lists this non-coding RNA (66 nucleotides) under Staphylococcus aureus. Lineage: Bacteria; Bacillati; Bacillota; Bacilli; Caryophanales; Staphylococcaceae. The record is from RNAcentral. RNAcentral also lists the same sequence under 1 other name.